UACGAAGGGGGCUAGCGUUGUUCGGAAUUACUGGGCGUAAAGCGUGCGCAGGCGGCCAUCCAAGUCAGUGGUGAAAGCCCGGAGCUCAACUCCGGAAUUGCCAUUGAAACUGUUUGGCUCGAGUACGAGAGAGGUGAGUGGAAUUCCCAGUGUAGAGGUGAAAUUCGUAGAUAUUGGGAGGAACACCAGUGGCGAAGGCGGCUCGCUGGACCGGUUCUGACGCUGAGGCGCGAAAGCGUGGGGAGCAAACGGG
This 253-nucleotide ribosomal RNA is filed under the name uncultured bacterium. Its description in RNAcentral is "partial 16S ribosomal RNA". It matches the Rfam family "Bacterial small subunit ribosomal RNA", at positions 524 to 776 of the family's 1533-position model. The record is from RNAcentral.